UAGGGAAUCUUCGGCAAUGGGGGCAACCCUGACCGAGCAACGCCGCGUGAGUGAAGAAGGUUUUCGGAUCGUAAAGCUCUGUUGUUAAGGAAGAACGAGUGUGAGAAUGGAAAGUUCAUACUGUGACGGUACUUAACCAGAAAGGGACGGCUAACUACGUGCCAGCAGCCGCGGUAAUACGUAGGUCCCGAGCGUUGUCCGGAUUUAUUGGGCGUAAAGCGAGCGCAGGCGGUUAGAAAAGUCUGAAGUGAAAGGCAGUGGCUCAACCAUUGUAGGCUUUGGAAACUGUUUAACUUGAGUGCAGAAGGGGAGAGUGGAAUUCCAUGUGUAGCGGUGAAAUGCGUAGAUAUAUGGAGGAACACCGGUGGCGAAAGCGGCUCUCUGGUCUGUAACUGACGCUGAGGCUCGAAAGCGUGGGGAGCGAACAGGAUUAGAUACCCUGGUAGUCCACGCCGUAAACGAUGAGUGCUAGGUGUUAGGUCCUUUCCGGGACUUAGUGCCGCAGCUAACGCAUUAAGCACUCCGCCUGGGGAGUACGACCGCAAGGUUG
RNAcentral lists this ribosomal RNA (550 nucleotides) under uncultured bacterium. Its description in RNAcentral is "bacterial SSU rRNA". It matches the Rfam family "Bacterial small subunit ribosomal RNA", at positions 355 to 896 of the family's 1533-position model. The record is from RNAcentral.